GUGGGGAAUCUUGCGCAAUGGGCGAAAGCCUGACGCAGCCAUGCCGCGUGAAUGAUGAAGGUCUUAGGAUUGUAAAAUUCUUUCACCGGGGACGAUAAUGACGGUACCCGGAGAAGAAGCUCCGGCUAACUUCGUGCCAGCAGCCGCGGUAAUACGAAGGGGGCUAGCGUUGCUCGGAAUUACUGGGCGUAAAGGGCGCGUAGGCGGACAGCUUAGUCAGAGGUGAAAGCCCAGGGCUCAACCUUGGAAUUGCCUUUGAUACUGGCUGUCUUGAGUUUGGGAGAGGUGAGGGGAACUCCGAGUGUAGAGGUGAAAUUCGUAGAUAUUCGGAAGAACACCAGUGGCGAAGGCGACUCACUGGCCCAAUACUGACGCUGAGGCGCGAAAGCGUGGGGAGCAAACAGGAUUAGAAACCCUGGUAGUCC
Molecule: ribosomal RNA, 425 nt
Filed under: uncultured bacterium
Lineage: Bacteria
Description: partial 16S ribosomal RNA
Rfam family: Bacterial small subunit ribosomal RNA
Source: RNAcentral